CAGUAGCCGCGGUAAUGCGAAGGGUGCAAGCGUUAAUCGGAAUUACUGGGCGUAAAGCGUGCGUAGGCGGUUUGUUAAGACAGAUGUGAAAUCCCCGGGCUCAACCUGGGAAUGGCAAUGGAUACUGGCAAGCUAGAGUGUGUCAGAGGAUGGUGGAAUUCCCGGUGUAGCGGUGAAAUGCGUAGAGAUCGGGAGGAACAUCAGUGGCGAAGGCGGCCAUCUGGGACAACACUGACGCUGAGGCACGAAAGCGUGGGGAGCAAACAGGAUUAGAUACCCCUGUAGUCCCUGUCUCUUAUAC
Molecule: ribosomal RNA, 301 nt
Filed under: uncultured bacterium
Lineage: Bacteria
Description: partial 16S ribosomal RNA
Rfam family: Bacterial small subunit ribosomal RNA
Source: RNAcentral